This 213-nucleotide ribosomal RNA is filed under the name uncultured bacterium. RNAcentral describes it as "partial 16S ribosomal RNA". It matches the Rfam family "Bacterial small subunit ribosomal RNA", at positions 127 to 341 of the family's 1533-position model. The record is from RNAcentral.
UGCCUCAUACUCGGGGAUAGCCUUUCGAAAGAAAGAUUAAUAUCCGAUAGCAUAUAUUUCCCGCAUGGGUUUUAUAUUAAAGAAAUUCGGUAUGAGAUGGGGAUGCGUUCCAUUAGUUUGUUGGCGGGGUAACGGCCCACCAAGACUACGAUGGAUAGGGGUUCUGAGAGGAAGGUCCCCCACAUUGGAACUGAGACACGGUCCAAACUCCUA